AGAGUUUGAUCCUGGCUCAGAUUGAACGCUGGCGACGUGCUUAACACAUGCAAGUCGUGCGAGAAAGGAGACUUCGGUCUCUGAGUAGAGCGGCGCACGGGUGAGUAACGCAUGGAUGAUCUACCCUUGAGUUCGGGAUAACGGUGCGAAAGCGCCGCUAAUACCGUAUAACAAUCCAUUUCAUCGUAGGUUCAAAGCAGGCCUCUUCAUGAAAGCUUGCGCUUGGGGAUGAGUCCGCGUCCCAUUAGCUUGUUGGCGGGGUAACGGCCCACCAAGGCUACGAUGGGUAGCUGGUCUGAGAGGAUGAUCAGCCACACUGGAACUGAAACACGGUCCAGACUCCUACGGGAGGCAGCAGUGGGGAAUAUUGCGCAAUGGGGGAAACCCUGACGCAGCGACGUCGUGUGAGGGAAGAAGGCCUUCGGG
This 426-nucleotide ribosomal RNA is filed under the name uncultured bacterium. RNAcentral's name for it is "bacterial SSU rRNA". It matches the Rfam family "Bacterial small subunit ribosomal RNA", at positions 8 to 422 of the family's 1533-position model. The record is from RNAcentral.